AUUAACUAAAUAUACUAAUAAUAUUAAGAUUUAAUAUGUUUAACCAUUUAGCCUAAACAACUAAAUAUAAUUUUAUACAUUUUACUUUUAAAUGAAUAAAAUAAAAACAACUAAAAAUAAAAUAAAAGAAUAUGGAUCUCAUAUAUUAACAUCAAAACGGAAAAAUUUAUUUUGUGAUAUUGAUAUUAAGUUUGAAGAUAAUAAUAUAAAAUUAUUGAAUUACAUUUUCUACAUAUUUAUUGUGAUUAUUGGUUUUACGUUUAAAUAUGAAAGAAAUAAUGAUAUAGUAUCAAAUGAUGAUUUGUUUAUGUUUUUAUAAAUCAUAUUUUUGUAAUUGAACUAGACCAAAACUAAAAAAUUAACUCGGUUGAACUGAAAAUACAAACAAAACCAAAUUAAACCGAACCGAACCAAACACAAACCAAACCGAACUAAAACUGAACCGAACACAUACUAAACCGAAGUAAAACCGAACCAAACCGAACAUGAACCAAACCAUACUAAUUUGGGUUGACUUUGGUUGGAGAUUUCUUAGACCCAAACC
Molecule: long non-coding RNA, 544 nt
Filed under: Brassica napus (rape)
Lineage: Eukaryota; Viridiplantae; Streptophyta; Magnoliopsida; Brassicales; Brassicaceae
Description: long non-coding RNA (BNAP_LNC011021)
Source: RNAcentral